Molecule: non-coding RNA, 135 nt
Organism: Hordeum vulgare subsp. vulgare (domesticated barley)
Lineage: Eukaryota; Viridiplantae; Streptophyta; Magnoliopsida; Poales; Poaceae
Source: Rfam
CUACUACUCCCUCCGAUCCAUUUUACUUGUCUUAGAUUUGUCUAGAUACAAAUGUAUGUAGGCAUGUUUUAGUGUUAGAUACAUCCGUAUCUAGACAAUUCUAAAACAAGUAAUAUGGAUCGGAGGGAGUACAUC